This is a long non-coding RNA of Hipposideros armiger (great roundleaf bat), 2915 nucleotides long. RefSeq lists it as uncharacterized. NCBI's taxonomy places the organism in Eukaryota, Metazoa, Chordata, Mammalia, Chiroptera, Hipposideridae. The transcript is spliced from 3 exons. The record is from RefSeq and is a predicted model, not a curated record.
GUCACAGCUUGUUCACAUGUCACAACCAUGGUCACUCCUUGGCCUAGUGACUGUCCCCAGGCCCAACGGAGAACAGCAUGGAAAACGAACCCUGCAGAACAAAGCCAGCCGGGAUUCCAGGACAAGCUCUGGCCACGUUCUCCGCCGGCAUCAAAAGGGACCGUGUCCAUCUGAGACGGGGAGCGACCCUCUCCAGUAGCGUCUGGUCCAGCAGGAUGUGUCCCCAGACUCUCCCAGGACUGAGUCGGUGUAACGCAGACCCGAUGCCUGGCCAAGCGGAAGCCCUGCUGCGUCACUGUGCAGUGUCUCGUGCUCAUGUACCGGGUCGGCAAAACCCUGAAGCUCACCCAGCGAGAGGCCGCUGCCACCCAAGGGCUGACCGAUGGGGCAGGCCACAGGCACCCUGCUGACGGCAUCUGGGGGACAGAACUGCGUCCUGGAGCUCCAUGAGCCGCCCGCCUGGCGCCAGAGGCUGCAGCUAACGGCUCUGGGCGGCUCCCACCUGGGGCUGAAGGACACGUGCCCCCUUCUGACUGACCCGCUGGGAACAUGCCACUCCCACAGCCCCUGCAGACCCCACAAGGGCUUCCAACGUUAAAACAGACCUAGAUGAUACAGGUACGGACACAGUACGUUCUAAAGCUUCUAGAUGCUCAUACGUUCUACUUAAUUCCAGUAACUACAGUCCACGCUGCAUGUCUGGGUUCCCAGGGUGGGUGUGCGACGCGCCUCACCAUUUACAGGAUUCAUUCCAUUCCUCCAACCUUCCCCCGUGUCCGGCUGAGGCCGACUCCUCUUUGGAGAACUGGGUAAAUAAAAUCGCCUCCAAUGGCCCCAAAAUAUGCUUCGGAUCUUUGCAGUGGGCACAGUCCCCGCCAGCAAGGACAAGGGCUGACAGCCAGGUGUGGGGUGUGAGCCUGCAGCCCGGCCCGGGUCACAGGAGCCACGGCUCCUGACCUGCUUCCAGACGCCCAGCUAAGAGCUCGGCACAGACCCUCACGGCAGCCGGGACAGAGCACGGGGCCCCUGGGGGGAGGGCAGGAGCCCAGAGACCCCUGCAGCCAGGUCAGGAGCUGCUCUGGGGGGAGGGGCCCCGCCCCGAGGACGGCCGCCCAGGGUCAAGGGUGCGUCGGGAGAAAGGCAGCUCCAGGGGCCGGGCUGCCGUCAAGGGCUGAGCAGAGGCUCCACGGCCGAGCUGGGUGUGAGCCCACGCCCGGCCCAGCCUCAGCUCUGAGCCCCACCUGGGGGCACCUGGACAUUAGCCGGGCACCAGGAGGGAAGGACCAGUGGCCAGUGGACCCUGUGGGGGGGUUUGGCUGGGUUGAGCCAGAGGAGGCGUGAGAUGAACUGUGAUGCCGGCAGGGGACGUAGCAUAAGCUGAAGCAGCCACACCUGGAUCCUAAGUCCCUUACAUGAGAGCACCUGCUCCAGGUGACAACGUACAGCUCGCUGUGCUGGGCCCACGGCCACGCACUGAAGGGGGCCCACAGGGCGCUGGGGGGCAGGGCAGGCUGUCACCGCUACACAGGUCCCGUCAGGCCAGCGGAGGGCGGCGCCAAUGAAGAACCCCACCUAGCCUUCCGGAAUCUCCUCGGACGCUCCUGGCUCUGCUCCCAGGGUCGGGGAACCUGACAGGGGGCCGCAUGUGUGGUCACGCCCCCGUCUGCUCUGGCGGGUUCUGUCAUCCCACCCCCCACCCUCACUCAGGACGGGUGUGACCGCAGUGACAAACAUCGACGAGAUCCAUCCUGUGGAAAGACGUCCGCAGACCCUAUCCCACCCUCAGGCAGAGCAGGGAGGACGCUGCCCCUCAGACCAGGGUGGAGAGGGGCCCGUGAGCUGGACCCCACACUCGCCUCCAGGCGCCUGACUGGCCUCGAUCCUGGGGUGGCCCCUGUGCUGUCCUGGCUGGGGGGCCUGGGACUCGGGGUGUUCUCAGGAGCAGCCUGCCUCUUCCCGGAGGGGGCUGCACAGGGGGACCGGCUCUGUGCUCCCUGAACUGCUCCGGGUCCCCUCCUUGGUCAUUUGAGGCAGGCAGUGCUUGGCGAGACGGCCUGGAACCCCAACAUGUCUCUGAUCACAGCCUCGUGUCCUCCCGCAGGCGAACGUGGUCGGCACAUUUUCUGGAGGCCCCCCAGGUAUUCUGAACACCCCCAGGGCCAGUGCAGGAGCCCACAUCCUCCAGUGCCGGGCACCUCUGGCCCUGAUUAACUCAUCGGGGAGGCGAGUGGGAUGGGGGUGGGCACAGCCUGGCCUCCAGGACCCCUGAGCCCAAAUGCCCUGUCAACCCCUGUCUCUCAGGAAGAGGGUCGUGGUCACCCACUCAGGUUGUGCAGCGAGGGCACGUCCAGCUUGAGGACAGACCUGUCUGUGCUCUGAGUCUGUCAGUCCCAGAACGGGCUGCGUUAUGGAAAGCGCUGGCUCCUAAGUGUCCACAGGGCAGUGGGGUCCCUGGACCAGCCAGGAGGGCUUCCUGGAAGAGGCGAGGUUUGAAGGGAGAAGCGAGAGGCCACACUGCAGGCAGCGGGAGGGGCGUGGGGUGACCUGGGGCAGGUGGGGCUCGCCGCCGUGAGGCCGGGGCACUGCAGGGGCGAGGAGGGGCCGUGCUGUGUUCUGGGGGCUGCAGGGAGGCCCAUGGAAUGGAGGCGGCCACUGGGGUGCAGACAACAGGCUGGACGACCAGGGCCCAGAGCGUCUGGGCAGGGGUGCAUGUCCUGGAAAUCCACGGUCCUCUGGGCCCAGCAGGGAGCUGAGCAAGGGUCCGGGGCUCAGCCUCCAUCGGCCACACAUGGUCCCCAGGCCCACGCGACCCACCCAGACCCUCAGGCAGCACUUGGUGGACUCUGGACCCCACUCAAGCUGGGCUGAGGGGUUCUAGUAUAUUCAGAUGCAUCUGGUCAAGGGGUCUGCCUGCC